RNAcentral lists this ribosomal RNA (253 nucleotides) under uncultured bacterium. RNAcentral's name for it is "partial 16S ribosomal RNA". It matches the Rfam family "Bacterial small subunit ribosomal RNA", at positions 524 to 776 of the family's 1533-position model. The record is from RNAcentral.
GACGAACCGUGCAAACGUUGUUCGGAAUCACUGGGCUUAAAGGGCGCGUAGGCGGGCAAGCAAGUCGAAGGUGAAAUCCCACGGCUCAACCGUGGAAGUGCCCCCGAUACUGCUUGUCUUGAGGGAGAUAGGGGCGUGCGGAACUUCCGGUGGAGCGGUGAAAUGCGUAGAUAUCGAGAGGAACACCUGCGGCGAAGGCGGGUUGCUGGGCUGAUACUGACGCUGAGGCGCGAAAGCCAGGGGAGCGAACGGG